ACAGUCAUGACCUUGAUAUAUAGGUUCAGAUAGUGUCCAGAUUGGAAUCCUGAUGCUAAAGACUUAGUAAGACACACACAAAAAAAGAGUUGAGAAUUACUUAGGGCUAGGGCUAUCUAGGUGCUACAAGGACAGCACAAGGACAUCUGCUGUUACAAUACAAAGCUUAUAGAGAAUUCAGAACUGCCAUUGACUCAGAUAUAAAAAGAGUGAAAGACUUUUUAGCUGACCUCCAAGAAUACCUAACCUCCCUCUCAGAGGUAGUCCUUCAAAAUAAAAAAAGAUCAGACCUGAUAUUCCUUAAAGAAGGAGUCUGUGUGCUAUACUGAAAGAAAAACGUUGCUUCUAUACAGACCAUUCAGGAGUAAUUAAAGACUCCAUAAAUAAACUUAAAAAAAGGUUAGACAAAAGACAGACAGAAAAACACAUCAGAGAUGGUUCGAGAGCUAGUUUAGUAGAUCUCCCUGGAUGACUACCCUACUCUCUGCUACAGCUGGGCCAUUAUUAAUAAUUUUCUUGGUUUUAGUUUUUGGCUCCUACAUGACAAACAGGUUAAUUGCUUUUGUUAAAAAUCGAGUGGGUGCUGUGCGGUUGAUGGUUGUGAGACAACAGUACCAGUCAGUUAGGACAACUGGUGAGACCAAAUAUGAGACUUGAUAUCAAAAUUCUAAGAUUAGAAUUAUUUAGUAGGAGAAGACGGGAAUGAAAAGAAAAUUAUACGAAUUCUAGGUUUAGAAAUAUAAAAAUUAAAAGAAUAAACCCCAAAAGGCCACAGACCCAGGGCUAAGCCCUGCAGCCAGGACUAGCAGGCCAUAAAGAUAAAGGAGCACAGGAAACACUGUCCAGGCAGGACUGGCAAGCCAUAAAGAAAAGGAAUGCAGGAACCAGCCUGAGUUAAUGGGACUGAUUCAUGGGACGUCUGGCAGAAAGACAUCUCCCCCCAGCUCACUCAGAGCCAUCCUCCAGACCCUGAUAAGCCCCUGACUUCUAACACGUACUCUUUCUGCUUUGUUCUCACUGCUAUGUUUGAAUGAGCCAAUUGUAUGUAACCACGCCAAAACCCCCUAGCCUUCUCUAUAUAACCCUCUGACUUUUGAGUUUCGAGGCCGACACCUCUGUCUCCUGUGCGGGAUAUGUGUCGGCCCGGAGAUCUCUGUAAUAGGUCUCUGUAAUAAACCUCGCCUUUGUUUAUUACAUCC
This 1199-nucleotide long non-coding RNA is filed under the name Rattus norvegicus (Norway rat). RNAcentral describes it as "long non-coding RNA NONRATT022300". The record is from RNAcentral. Lineage: Eukaryota; Metazoa; Chordata; Mammalia; Rodentia; Muridae.